Rattus norvegicus (Norway rat) is the source of this 965-nucleotide non-coding RNA. NCBI's taxonomy places the organism in Eukaryota, Metazoa, Chordata, Mammalia, Rodentia, Muridae. The record is from RefSeq and is a predicted model, not a curated record.
UGUUUACAAGAAAAUAAAACUACAAAAUUAUGAUUACCCCAACUGAACACUCCAAUUAUUAAGUAAGUCUAAUUUUGGGAUAACGCGCAGUUUUUGAAGUAUGAAUUGAUUAUACUUAGAAAAUAUUUUUUAAGUAUCCGUAGCUUGUAAAUUCUUUUUUGUUUGUCAUCCAGGUCAAUCCAGUACUGUACUUUGUGCAUAUUUUGAUAGUAUAUUUCUAUGACAUGAGGGGAGAAUCUAACCUUCUUUGAACAAUCAAAAAAGAAACAAUAUGCAUUUGUCUCUUGGGAGCGAAAAGGAACACCAAGUGCAGAUGAUUUCAGACCAAAGAGAAGCCUGGACUCUAAAUGAAGGAAUCAACACUGAGGGACAACUCAAGAGCUGUGCUCAGCUACCCAUGAAGAACAGGCAGUGCAACCAUUAGACUGAGAUCAGGACCCAUAUGGAAGAGUUGAAAGGACUGAAGGAGAUGACCGGGAUUGCAACCACAUAGGAACAACAAGAGUAUUAACUAAUCCAGACUUUUCAGAGCUGACAGACACUAAGCAUCCAGAAGAGAGUAUGUAUUGGGCUGAUCUGUGACCUCUGGCACAUAUAUAGCAGAGCACUACCCUUCCUGUCUUCAAUUGGAGAGAUGUGUUUAAUCCUAUAGAGACUUGAUUUUCCAGGGAAGGGGAUAAUGUCAAAGUGAUGUGUGUGGGGGGUGGAAACCCCUCUAAAAAGGAAAUGGUAGGGGGGAUAGGGGAAUCAGUAACAGGGGCAGGAUUUGGAAUGAAAUAAAUAAUACAAUGUAAUUUUAAAAUUUUAAGUAUUGUUAAACACAAUCAGUUGUAUCUUCAAUGACAGAAAAAUGUUGUAAACAUUACUGAGAAUAAUAUAAAAAAUAUACCGUUAACAAAGUUCAUAUGGUAUGAAUAUUAUAUCAGCCAUCAAAUUAAAUAAAAAACAACCAUCUGUAGGCUACA